CGGGGAGUGGCGCAGUGGUAGCGUUCCUGCUUUGGGUGCAGGCGGUCGGGAGUUCAAAUCUCCCCUCCCCGACCA
This 75-nucleotide transfer RNA is filed under the name Actinomycetes bacterium. RNAcentral's name for it is "tRNA-Pro". It matches the Rfam family "tRNA". Rfam says of the family: Transfer RNA (tRNA) molecules are approximately 80 nucleotides in length. Their secondary structure includes four short double-helical elements and three loops (D, anti-codon, and T loops). RNAcentral also lists the same sequence under 3 other names. The record is from RNAcentral. Lineage: Bacteria; Bacillati; Actinomycetota; Actinomycetes.